GUGGGGAAUAUUGGACAAUGGGCGCAAGCCUGAUCCAGCAAUGCCGCGUGAGUGAUGAAGGCCUUCGGGUCGUAAAGCUCUUUUACCCGGGAUGAUAAUGACAGUACCGAGAGAAUAAGCUCCGGCUAACUCCGUGCCAGCAGCCGCGGUAAUACGGAGGGAGCUAGCGUUGUUCGGAAUUACUGGGCGUAAAGCGCACGUAGGCGGUUACUCAAGUCAGAGGUGAAAGCCCGGGGCUCAACCCCGGAACUGCCUUUGAAACUAGGUGACUGGAAUCUUGGAGAGGCGAGUGGAAUUCCGAGUGUAGAGGUGAAAUUCGUAGAUAUUCGGAAGAACACCAGUGGCGAAGGCGACUCGCUGGACAAGUAUUGACGCUGAGGUGCGAAAGCGUGGGGAGCAAACAGGAUUAGAAACCCUAGUAGUCC
Molecule: ribosomal RNA, 425 nt
Filed under: uncultured bacterium
Lineage: Bacteria
Description: bacterial SSU rRNA
Rfam family: Bacterial small subunit ribosomal RNA
Source: RNAcentral